UGAUCACAAAUAUUAUUAUUUAUUAACUCAACAAAUUUAUCAAAUAAGAAAACUGUUAUAUUUGGAAAAUUUUACAUUAAUAUUAUAUGCUUUAAAAAAUGUAUCUUAUUUGAACGUGUAUAAUUUAUAUGUUUUUAAUUUAAUAGCAUAUAUUCUUGAACAGAUAAAAAAAAAAUACAAACUGUUAUCCGGGGAAGAUUGUAUAAAUAUAAUGCUUAUAGUUAAUGACUUGAGUAAGUAUGCUCAAAAUGGGUACUUGAAUUUUACAUAUUUGGCAAGUAGUAGCAGUAAUGACGGUGCCACCAGCUGCAGUACUAUUAAUAACUCUAUUGACGAUUUAAGAACCACCCAACGCGAUACUACAUUACAAAUAAAUCCAACAACAACUACUACUGCUACUACUACUGCUACUACUGCUACUACUGCUACUACUGCUACAAAAAAACAAAAGGAAAAAAACAAUGUAAUAAAAAAGUACAUUAACAUAUUCGACGAUAACGUUGAAUUGAAUACGUUAAAUGUGAGUAGUAGUAGUAGUAGUAAUAUUGUUGAACGUAAAAAUGUAUUAUCAAGCAAUGGAGUGGUAAAUCAAGGCGUAAAAGAUGUAACAGAUCACUCACUAUAUGGCGCAACAUAUGGUGCAACAAAUGGUGCAACACAUGGCGCAACAAAUGGCGCAACAUAUGGCGCAACAUAUGGCGCAACAUAUGGCGCAACAUAUGGCGCAACAUAUGACUUACCUGAUGAAGAGGACGAAAUUUAUUUACCCCAUAUACAUGACUUACUAUACGAACAAAUAAAAAUACGCUUAAACAAUUAUUGGCAUUUGAAUAUUAAAGACGUGAAUAACUUAAUAAUAAUUAUGAAAAACUGUAACAUGUAUGAUGAUGUAGUAAUAAAUAUGAUACUUCGACAAAUUAUACCUAUCUUAUUAAAAUGCUCAAGUAUCGAAUUUUUAAUUUUUUUAAGUAACGUAUCAUUAAAUAACAAAUUAAAAUUUUUAACAUUAACACAUAUGGCUCGAAGACCAAAAUUGAUAAGCGUUUUUAAAAGUAAAAUUAAUUCUAUUACAAGUAGUAUAUUAAAUAACUUUGAAGAGAUUGUAGAUUAUGAAGAAAAUAUACAGUCCCAUACUACUGCUACUGUUGCUACUGCUGCUACUGCUGCUAUUACUGCUACUACUGCUACUACUGCUACUACUGCUACUACUGCUACUANNNNNNNNNNCUACUGCUACUACUGCUACUACUGCUACUACUGCUACUACUGCUACUGCUACUACUGCUACUGCUACCACCACUGCUACUACUGCUACCACCACUGCUACUACUGCUACUACUACCACCACUCAGGAGGAAAGCACAAAAGAUACACCAGUUAGUCACAUACAACACAAACAUAAAGAUAUAACUUACAAACAAAGUGAAAAUGAUGAAAUAAUAAAUGUGGCUAACAAUUCGGUAGGUUAUAACA
Molecule: long non-coding RNA, 1473 nt
Filed under: Piliocolobus tephrosceles (Ugandan red Colobus)
Lineage: Eukaryota; Metazoa; Chordata; Mammalia; Primates; Cercopithecidae
Description: lncRNA (ENSPTEG00000005924.1)
Source: RNAcentral